GCGGACGGGUGCGUAACACGUAGCUACUUGCCCCACAGUGGGGGAUAACCCGGGGAAACCCGGGCUAAUACCGCAUACACCCGAGAGGGGAAAGCCGAAAGGCGCUGUGGGAUAGGGCUGCGGCGUAUCAGGUAGUUGGUGGGGUAACGGCCUACCAAGCCUAUGACGCGUAGCUGGUCUGAGAGGAUGAUCAGCCACACUGGAACUGAGACACGGUCCAGACUCCUACGGGAGGCAGCAGUGGGGAAUCUUGGGCAAUGGGGGAAACCCUGACCCAGCAACGCCGCGUGGAGGAAGACGCCCUUCGGGGUGUAAACUCCUUUUGCAGGGGAAG
RNAcentral lists this ribosomal RNA (334 nucleotides) under uncultured bacterium. Its description in RNAcentral is "bacterial SSU rRNA". It matches the Rfam family "Bacterial small subunit ribosomal RNA", at positions 98 to 447 of the family's 1533-position model. The record is from RNAcentral.